AGAAUUUUGACUAAGUUAAUGGCAUGUUAGUCAAGCCUUAAUAUGUGCCUUGAAUUAAGGAGAAAAUUAAGGAAAAAAUACCUUUGAGUAAGUUUUUCAAAAGGGGUAGGCAGACUUUUAUUAUUUUGGGUGGUCGGGUGGUUAAGUUUUUCAAAAGGGGGCAGGUAUGUCUUGGGUUAUAAAUAGAACAGAGUUUGGACAUAAUAGGGGAGCUUUUUAAUCAAUUAGAGAGGGUAUUGAGAGUAAAAAAAUAUAGACUGAAUUUUGAGAUUAGAAAUUGAGAGCUUAGAAAGGAUUUUUAACAGUAGAAGUUUAGAGAAUUUGAGUGAAAUACAGGCUAAAUUCUUACACUUAGAAUUUAGUCUUUGAGAGUUUAAAAAAAACAGAAAUCAAAGUUUAUUGUUGUAUUACAUUUACUGCUCAUAUGUUACUGUUCCAUUGUUGGGUUUAGCUACUGUUGUUGUUGCUCUGUUGUGUUGUAUCCCUAUUGCUUUUUGCUAAUCAUUCCUUUUGCUUCUUCUAUUUCUAUUAUCCAGGUACUCUUUUUGAUCUUCCGCGUGUUAUGGAGGACUGGUGUAACUUUGGUUGAAGGAAUACAUGAAGAAAUAUUGUUUUGAACUGCUGUUUGUUUUAGUAUCUGCCUGCAUUUAGCCUAUAAGACAUCUUGUAUAAUAGGACUAUAUAAUGAUUAGGAAUUGUUCAACUUGUGAAUUCUAUAGUUAAAUAGUUUGUCUUAUUUUGUUUUAGCUCAUAUAAAUAGAGUAGUGAAGCUUGAACUCAUACAGAUUGGUGAUAAGUCACUCACCAUGGUGUAAUGUGAUCAUUAGAAUCUUUUGUGUAUGUACAUUAGUUAAUUUCCUCCAAUAGAAUCAUGUAAUUAAUUGAUACGCAUAACGGAAUAUUUGGC
Molecule: long non-coding RNA, 907 nt
Filed under: Nicotiana benthamiana
Lineage: Eukaryota; Viridiplantae; Streptophyta; Magnoliopsida; Solanales; Solanaceae
Description: long non-coding RNA (NBEN_LNC008039)
Source: RNAcentral